This 253-nucleotide ribosomal RNA is filed under the name uncultured Paracoccaceae bacterium. RNAcentral's name for it is "uncultured Rhodobacteraceae bacterium partial 16S ribosomal RNA". It matches the Rfam family "Bacterial small subunit ribosomal RNA", at positions 524 to 776 of the family's 1533-position model. Lineage: Bacteria; Pseudomonadati; Pseudomonadota; Alphaproteobacteria; Rhodobacterales; Paracoccaceae. The record is from RNAcentral.
UACGGAGGGGGUUAGCGUUGUUCGGAAUUACUGGGCGUAAAGCGUACGUAGGCGGAUCAGAAAGUUGGGGGUGAAAUCCCGGGGCUCAACCCCGGAACUGCCUCCAAAACUCCUGGUCUUGAGUUCGAGAGAGGUGAGUGGAAUUCCAAGUGUAGAGGUGAAAUUCGUAGAUAUUUGGAGGAACACCAGUGGCGAAGGCGGCUCACUGGCUCGAUACUGACGCUGAGGUACGAAAGUGUGGGGAGCAAACAGG